GAUGAAGAACGUAGCGAAAUGCGAUAAGUAAUGUGAAUUGCAGAACUCAGUGAAUCAUCGAAUCUUUGAACGCACAUUGCGCCCCUUGGUAUUCCGAGGGGCAUGCCUGUUCGAGCGUCAUUAUAACCCCUCAAGCUCAGCUUGGUGUUGGGGCCUGCCGCACGGGCAGCCCUUAAAAUCAGUGGCGGUGCCAUCUGGCUCUAAGCGUAGUAAUUCUUCUCGCUAUAGAGUCCCGGUGGAUGCUUGCCAUUAACCCCCAAUUUUCUAUGGUUGACCUCGGAUCAGGUAGGGAUACCCGCUGAACUUAAGCAUAUCAAUAAGCGAGGA
Molecule: unclassified non-coding RNA, 327 nt
Filed under: soil metagenome
Description: partial contains 5.8S ribosomal RNA, internal transcribed spacer 2, and large subunit ribosomal RNA
Rfam family: 5.8S ribosomal RNA (bases 1-120)
Source: RNAcentral